UACAGAGGGGGCUAGCGUUAUUCGGAAUUAUUGGGCGUAAAGGGCGCGUAGGCGGCCUUGCGUGUCUUUCGUGAAAUCCCUCGGCUUAACUGAGGACGUGCGGAAGAAACUGCAGGGCUUGAGUCCGGGAGAGGGGGGUGGAAUUCCCAGUGUAGCGGUGAAAUGCGUAGAUAUUGGGAGGAACACCGGUGGCGAAGGCGGCCCCCUGGACCGGUACUGACGCUGAGGCGCGAAAGCCAGGGGAGCGAACGGG
RNAcentral lists this ribosomal RNA (253 nucleotides) under uncultured bacterium. Its description in RNAcentral is "partial 16S ribosomal RNA". It matches the Rfam family "Bacterial small subunit ribosomal RNA", at positions 524 to 776 of the family's 1533-position model. The record is from RNAcentral.